Molecule: ribosomal RNA, 699 nt
Filed under: uncultured archaeon
Lineage: Archaea
Description: partial 16S ribosomal RNA
Source: RNAcentral
UCGGCGUUGACUCCAAUUGAACCGCAGGCUUCACCCCUUGUGGUGCUCCCCCGCCAAUUCCUUUAAGUUUCAUACUUGCGUACGUACUUCCCAGGCGGCAGACUUAACGGCUUCCCUGCGGCACUGCAUUGGCCACAAGCCAAUGCAUCACCGAGUCUGCAUCGUUUACAGCUGGGACUACCCGGGUAUCUAAUCCGGUUUGCUCCCCCAGCUUUCAUCCCUCACCGUCGAACGUGUUCUGGUACACCGCCUUCGCCACAGGUGGUCAUCAAUAGAUCAAAGGAUUUUACCCCUUCCUAUCGAGUACCGUGUACCUCUCCCACUCCCUAGCUGCACAGUAUUUUCGGCGGCCUAUACGUUAAGCGCAUAGAUUUAACCGAAAACUUAUGCAACCGGCUACGGAUGCUUUAGGCCCAAUAAACCUCCUGACCACUCGAGGUGCUGGUUUUACCGCGGCGGCUGACACCAGAACUUGCCCACCCCUUAUUCACCAGUGAUUCUACAACUGACAAAAGACUCCUUUAGCAGGAGACACUCGGAUUAACCUUGUCGUGCUUUCGCACAUUGCAAAGGUUUCUCGCCUGCUGCGCCCCAUAGGGCCUGGGUCCGUGUCUCAGUACCCAUCUCCCGGGCCCUCCUCUCAGAGCCCGUACUGUUAUUAGCUGGUGGGGCCUUUACUCACCAACAAGCUGAUAAGGC